GACGAACGCUGGCGGCGUGCCUAAUACAUGCAAGUAGAACGCUGAAGGAGGAGCUUGCUUCUCUGGAUGAGUUGCGAACGGGUGAGUAACGCGUAGGUAACCUGCCUGGUAGCGGGGGAUAACUAUUGGAAACGAUAGCUAAUACCGCAUAAUAGCAGUUGUUGCAUGACAACUGAUUGAAAGGUGCAAUUGCACCACUACCAGAUGGACCUGCGUUGUAUUAGCUAGUUGGUGGGGUAACGGCUCACCAAGGCGACGAUACAUAGCCGACCUGAGAGGGGGAUCGGCCACACUGGGCCUGGGACACGGCCCAGACUCCUACGGGAGGCAGCAGUAGGGAAUCUUCGGCAAUGGACGGAAGUCUGACCGAGCAACGCCGCGUGUGUGAAGAAGGUUUUCGGCUCGUAAAGCUCUGUUGUAAGAGAAGAACGGGUGUGAGAGUGGAAAGUUCACACUGUGACGGUAUCUUACCAGAAAGGGACGGCUAACUACGUG
This 495-nucleotide ribosomal RNA is filed under the name uncultured bacterium. RNAcentral's name for it is "partial 16S ribosomal RNA". It matches the Rfam family "Bacterial small subunit ribosomal RNA", at positions 28 to 507 of the family's 1533-position model. The record is from RNAcentral.